RNAcentral lists this long non-coding RNA (1251 nucleotides) under Vitis vinifera (wine grape). Its description in RNAcentral is "long non-coding RNA (VVIN_LNC007774)". The record is from RNAcentral. Lineage: Eukaryota; Viridiplantae; Streptophyta; Magnoliopsida; Vitales; Vitaceae.
UUUGAGAUAAUUGAAAACAUUGUUAGUUAUAAGAAGAAAGACAAUAAUUAAAUCUUAUUACUAAUUUUAGAUGUUUUUACCAUGUAAAAAUAAACAGCUUAACAACAGCCAGAAACCACUAUUUAGAUCUGAACUGAAUUCAAGCCACUUCAGAUUUUGGGCACCAUCUCAUUGAUAUUGGGAGGCUGAUGAGUGAGGAUUUUUAGAUAGCUAAGAAGAGAUAGAAGGUAGCUGACUGAAAAAUAAAUACUAAAAUUGCUUCAAGAUGACCAAAGAAGAAAUCGGUCAGCUAUGAUAUGAUCAGCUUAUUUCUGAAAACAACCCUCAGCUAUAAGUUGCUUUCACCCCUAACCUUUAGAGGAGAAAAAACAUGGAAAACAAGUCCGCCCAACAAAACCUUAUCCCAUGACAUCAAUCCCUUUAUUCUUCUCUACAACAGUCAUUUCUCCAUUUAAAAGUUUGAGAAUCAAAGCAACAGCUGAUAUCAAAGGUGGGAUAAUGUGAUCAGCUAUCUUUUCCCAGACCAAUUCCCCAUCAAGCAAAUAAAAUUUGAAUUUAUGUAAAACAGUUCAGCAGUUCCAUAAUCAUUCACAAAUAUCCCACAAACAAAGGAACAGCUCCCACACCCCAAAUUUGUCAAAUAGUUCAAUUUUGGAUGUUUCUGAGUAGAAACCCCAAAUCAUUUUGAGCCCAAAGCCAGUCCUGAAUCCUGAAUUUGCCAAACUGGAAUUCUAAACCACACUGAGAUAAAAUAAUUCCCUAAUCCUGAAUUUCUCAAGCAAUCCCUCUCAACACAACAAAUUCUUUUUUGGAUGUUUUCUCACUUUAAGAUAUGGAUUAUCUGGAAUUCAUCAUUACGUCUCUUAUUUUGACUCCAAAACCCAUCAUAAGGGGCACAAGACAGAAGCAGAAGUUUCCAAGCUUGACGCAAAAGAUUAGGAAAAAAACAUGGGUAUAUUACCAGACAAGGUUGGGGAAAAUUUAUCACCUUAAAUUUUCUGGGGAAGAAUUUCUCAUGGAAGUAUUUUCUGCCCAUGGAAAACAAUAAGACACUUAGGAUUCAUACAAAAGAAACAAAAAGGACAAUCAUAAAAUAAUUAAUAGAAAAAGGAAGUGAUGAAAUGAGAAUGAAGCAGACCUGGUUGAAGCAGCGGCUGCAUUUGGGACUUGGAUUUCAUCAAAAGAGUUCAGAAGUAGAAGAGUUAGAAGUGGGAUAUGUCUACAUAGAGCGUGUGUAGCAGUGAUCCUAAC